Molecule: long non-coding RNA, 277 nt
Filed under: Pelobates cultripes (western spadefoot toad)
Lineage: Eukaryota; Metazoa; Chordata; Amphibia; Anura; Pelobatidae
Source: RNAcentral
ACAGAUCCUUGUGGCAAUAAAUCAGGAAAGCAUUCCUUCAGACAACUAGACAUCGACUGUUGGAAAGAGACUUUUCAUCUGAUCUGCAAACUGUGAUGGAAGAUUCUACAGAGUUCAUUCGAUAGAGAAGAUUAACAGACAUACAAAGAAAUAAAAGAUUGGUACUAACAUACAUAACAAUUCCUAAAUAUUAACAAAGAAGAAAAGAGACAAUGAAAAGUUAUUUAACAGUUAUGAGUGUAUUAAUACCAAAAGAGAGUACUUAUAACUAUAUAAC